RNAcentral lists this ribosomal RNA (267 nucleotides) under uncultured bacterium. RNAcentral describes it as "partial 16S ribosomal RNA". It matches the Rfam family "Bacterial small subunit ribosomal RNA", at positions 87 to 354 of the family's 1533-position model. The record is from RNAcentral.
CCCGGCGACCGGCGCACGGGUGAGUAACGCGUAUGCAACUUACCUAUCAGAGGGGAUAACCCGGCGAAAGUCGGACUAAUACCGCAUGAAGCAGGGGCCCCGCAUGGGGAUAUUUGCUAAAGAUUCAUCGCUGAUAGAUAGGCAUGCGUUCCAUUAGGCAGUUGGCGGGGUAACGACCCACCAAACCGACGAUGGAUAGGGGUUCUGAGAGGAAGGUCCCCCACAUUGGUACUGAGACACGGACCAAACUCCUACGGGAGGCAGCAG